Molecule: ribosomal RNA, 707 nt
Filed under: uncultured bacterium
Lineage: Bacteria
Description: bacterial SSU rRNA
Rfam family: Bacterial small subunit ribosomal RNA
Source: RNAcentral
AGUGGCGGACUGGUGAGUAACGCGUGAGCAACCUGCCUAUUAGAGGGGAAUAACAGUGAGAAAUCAUUGCUAAUACCGCAUAUGCUUACACUAUUGCAUGAUAGAGUAAGGAAAGGAGCAAUCCGCUAAUAGAUGGGCUCGCGUCUGAUUAGCUAGUUGGUGGGGUAGAAGCCUACCAAGGCAAUGAUGCAUAGCCGAGUUGAGAGACUGAUCGGCCACAUUGGGACUGAGACACGGCCCAAACUCCUACGGGAGGCAGCAGUAGGGAAUCUUCCACAAUGGACGCAAGUCUGAUGGAGCAACGCCGCGUGAGUGAAGAAGGGUUUCGGCUCGUAAAGCUCCGUUGGUAGUGAAGAAAGAUAGAGGUAGUAACUGGCCUUUAUUUGACGGUAAUUACCUAGAAAGUCACGGCUAACUACGUGCCAGCAGCCGCGGUAAUACGUAGGUGGCAAGCGUUGUCCGGAUUUAUUGGGCGUAAAGCGAGUGCAGGCGGUUCAAUAAGUCUGAUGUGAAAGCCUUCGGCUCAACCGGAGAAUUGCAUCAGAAACUGUUGAACUUGAGUGCAGAAGAGGAGAGUGGAACUCCAUGUGUAGCGGUGGAAUGCGUAGAUAUAUGGAAGAACACCAGUGGCGAAGGCGGCUCUCUGGUCUGCAACUGACGCUNAGGCUCGAAAGCAUGGGUAGCGAACAGGAUUANAUACCCUGGUA